Long non-coding RNA from Gasterosteus aculeatus aculeatus (three-spined stickleback), 1200 nucleotides. NCBI's taxonomy places the organism in Eukaryota, Metazoa, Chordata, Actinopteri, Perciformes, Gasterosteidae. The record is from Ensembl.
CGCAGAGCUAAAGUUAGAUUCAGCCAUCAAUCUGAGCCGCACUUGAAGUAAACAGCAAGCUCUACCACGGCUUUGCUCUGGAUGCAUCCUCCGCCAGCUGCAAUGCACUUAAACUGCUUUGGCAAAUUGAAAAUGAAACCAGGGUUUCUCAAGACGCCGCGCGCAUUGAAAGAGAGACGGUGAGGCGGACCCUUUCAAGAACAACAAAUUCAAUCAUGGGGAUCGACUGUCUGCUACUGGGCCUUUCAGCUUUGUGGGUGGAAGCAGAUCGCCUGCAGAUCGCUGUGACCGGCGGCACUGACCACAAGAUACUCCAGAGUUGCCUGGCAGUAUGGAAACAACGGGGCACCCCCGCUUUUCUCAUCGCUAAGCCGCUGUCUGCUGUCCGGUGGCCCCGGAUAAACGUGUUACGCCAUGGAAGACUCUGCCAACAACACCCGUCAGCCCCACACCUCCACCUACCGAACUCUGUGUUUCCCAGACGACAAAGUGUCAGCUCACAUCCUAAUGACAUGAUUUCGCCUCACAGUUGUAAAAUUGCAUAACGUCUCCCUUCCGUAGUCGAUAGGAGUUCAUCCAGAGUUUUAUUUCUGCACAAGUUGGUUUUAUCAAAUAUUAUGAAGCCGAACACUAGGCAAGUACUCUGCUGCAGGUGCCGAGGGCAAGAAACUUGAUUUUUGCUUAGUGAAAUAAGCAAACCCCCCAACAACACAGCGUUAAUUAUUCACCCUCACUGGACCAGUGGGACAUUCUGAUAUGACUGGAGGUGGUUACAGGGUCUAAGGUUGCAGAGUAGACAUGACAGAGGUUGAAAUGUUUGCUGCCAAGAAAUAUGGGCCCAUCUGAUGUGAAAGCUGCCCACAGGGCGUCAGAAUGAAUGGUAAUAAUCUAUCAGGAGGGAAUGCAGCCGGAAUUAUGAACCACCCCCCCAGAAGGAAUGAAAGACAAGGAAAUGACCCCUUUUUAUUAUUUUGUCAUUUGCACUGUUGAUCCUUUUGCUUUCCCACUUAGAAAAAAGACUGAUGGUUGGCUUAAGCUGAAACUUGUUCGUGUUAAUAUUGCACUUAUUCAACCAUGAGAUAAAGACUCAUACACAAAAGAAAGGUGUGGGCCCGUCCUGUUGAUCACAGGUAAAACGAAUGUCUCUCUGCCAAAACAAGCAGCCAUGAGCACCAGAGGGCGGGGCUUGGAAAGCUGCAC